GAUGAACGCUGGCGGCGUGCCUAACACAUGCAAGUCGAACGGAGUUACUAGAGGAAGCUCUUCGGAGUGGAACCUUGUAACUUAGUGGCGGACGGGUGAGUAACGCGUGAGCAAUCUGCCUUUAAGAGGGGGAUAACAGUCGGAAACGACUGCUAAUACCGCAUAAUGUAUCGAGGUCACAUGAUUUUGAUACCAAAGGAGCAAUCCGCUUUUAGAUGAGCUCGCGUCUGAUUAGCUAGUUGGUAAGGUAAUGGCUUACCAAGGCGACGAUCAGUAGCCGGACUGAGAGGUUGAACGGCCACAUUGGGACUGAGACACGGCCCAGACUCCUACGGGAGGCAGCAGUGGGGAAUAUUGCGCAAUGGGGGAAACCCUGACGCAGCAACGCCGCGUGAUUGAAGAAGGCCUUCGGGUUGUAAAGAUCUUUAAUUAGGGACGAAAAAAAUGACGGUACCUAAAGAAUAAGCUCCGGCUAACUACGUGCCAGCCGCCGCCGUAACAC
Molecule: ribosomal RNA, 502 nt
Filed under: uncultured bacterium
Lineage: Bacteria
Description: bacterial SSU rRNA
Rfam family: Bacterial small subunit ribosomal RNA
Source: RNAcentral